CAUAUAUACUAUAAUUAUAUGAAUUUACGAAACGCGUACUCGAUAUGGCAAAUGAAAUAGCUGCAUUUUUUGUGGAAUGAAAUUUCGAUAAAAUAACGAAGAAAUUGGGAAAAAUUUUGCAAUAAAAUUGUGAUAUUACAAGAAAUGCAUAAAUGUUAUUAUAUAUUUUUUCAAACAAAAAUGUGAACUAUAUUUGUAUGUCUCUAUUGUAUUUGUUUAUAAUUCGCAAUAACAAAUAAACAACAAGCUUGCAUUAACAGU
Long non-coding RNA from Wasmannia auropunctata (little fire ant), 261 nucleotides. RefSeq lists it as uncharacterized. The transcript has 3 exons. NCBI's taxonomy places the organism in Eukaryota, Metazoa, Arthropoda, Insecta, Hymenoptera, Formicidae. The record is from RefSeq and is a predicted model, not a curated record.